Molecule: ribosomal RNA, 253 nt
Filed under: uncultured bacterium
Lineage: Bacteria
Description: partial 16S ribosomal RNA
Rfam family: Bacterial small subunit ribosomal RNA
Source: RNAcentral
UACGUAGGGAGCAAGCGUUGUCCGGAAUCAUUGGGCGUAAAGCGCGCGUAGGUGGCCUCAUAAGUCCGCUGUGAAAGUCAAAGGCUCAACCUUUGAAAGCCGGUGGAUACCGUGAGGCUAGAGUACGGAAGAGGCGAGUGGAAUUCCUGGUGUAGCGGUGGAAUGCGCAGAUAUCAGGAGGAACACCAAUAGCGAAGGCAGCUCGCUGGGACGUUACUGACACUGAGGCGCGAAAGCGUGGGGAGCGAACAGG